AGCGAACGCUGGCGGCAGGCUUAACACAUGCAAGUCGAGCGGGCGUAGCAAUACGUCAGCGGCAGACGGGUGAGUAACGCGUGGGAACGUACCUUUUGGUUCGGAACAACGCAGGGAAACUCGUGCUAAUACCGGAUAAGCCCUUACGGGGAAAGAUUUAUCGCCGAAAGAUCGGCCCGCGUCUGAUUAGCUAGUUGGUAGGGUAAUGGCCUACCAAGGCGACGAUCAGUAGCUGGUCUGAGAGGAUGAUCAGCCACAUUGGGACUGAGACACGGCCCAAACUCCUACGGGAGGCAGCAGUGGGGAAUAUUGGACAAUGGGGGCAACCCUGAUCCAGCCAUGCCGCGUGAGUGAUGAAGGCCCUAGGGUUGUAAAGCUCUUUUGUGCGGGAAGAUAAUGACGGUACCGCAAGAAUAAGCCCCGGCUAACUUCAUGCCAGCCGCCGCCGUAA
This 451-nucleotide ribosomal RNA is filed under the name uncultured bacterium. RNAcentral describes it as "partial 16S ribosomal RNA". It matches the Rfam family "Bacterial small subunit ribosomal RNA", at positions 29 to 523 of the family's 1533-position model. The record is from RNAcentral.